AUUUUUCUGAGUUAGUGUGGCCUUCAUCUGGUAAUGUACUACCUGAGGGGGGAGGUGCCGCCUCUCUUUCAGCACCGUGCAACCAUUCAAGGAGGGUGUGUUGUUCACCACAUCUGCUUCCCACUGCCAAAUCAGGCCUCAGAAAAGCUUUCUGGAAGUGACGCCAGCUUCAGGGACAAGGCCCAAGUUUCUAGGGGUCAACACCGUUCCAUGGUUCCUGAAGAGAUGGUAGACUAUGGAACGUAGGCGUUAUGUUUUUGACCUAUGUAACAUGGUCCACUAACUCUCAGUAUCCAAUCCAUCCUCGGAGGGCACCCCGGAGGUGUUACCAACAGCGAGGAAGAGAAUCGGUUCAUCCUCACCCACUCCGUGUACUUUCAGUUGCUAUGGCUGAUAUCUGAUCUACAGCAAGACCACCAUCUUCUGGGCCCCCAGUGAGCCCUCUAGGAGACUUUUGGGAGCUUGAGUCCUAGGACCCGAAGACAUGGUCUUUCCAUGUGAAAUGCAUGAGAUGUCUAUGGGACAUCUCCAAACCAGCCAGCUCUGGAGGCUUUGUGGAGCCCAUUUUCCCUCAAGGGAGACCUACCUGUUUAGCAUCUACCCUGCUCUGAGCAUUGAGGAAAUGCUAACAUCUACCUCUUCUCAAGUUCAAGUCCAGCCUCAGUUCAGUUGGGUUUUUAGUGGCAGUGCCAAGUGGGGAUGAAAUAGUAGUUUUGAGUUUAGGGAGAUGGUUGACCCAAAUAAUACCUUUUUUUUUUUUUUUUUUUUUAAAGUUCACUAUGCCUUAGAAGGCUUCCUGGAACUGCCUUUGAUUGAAACAGAUGUGCCAUUGUCUUUUUUUUUCUGGUGGCACCCUUUUCCUAUGGUUAUGAUUUGGUCUCACAAGGAGAUAGGGCAGGGCUUCCAAUGCCCUGAUCCAUGUGCUUGGCCUGCUUUAACUAGCCAGGUCAUCUUUGUUUUUUUAUUGCGUACAGGAUAUUUGGCUUUCCUAAUUUGGCACCACUCCUGCACAUUAGCCCCCUGCCGUGCAUGCCCUUAUGCCUACUGUCCCUGAGUGCCCAUUCCUUCAGCACCCGGUAGGCACUUCAGCAGCAUUUGUGGAGUAGUAACCCCCACAGCAUCGUUUGUCUGCAACCUUUAUGAGCUUUUGGAAGAGCUGCCGAUUUUGGGGAUGAGUUGCUGGUGUCAAACCUGACAUGAAGAUGAGACUCUUGGCUUUUGUGUGCCUGCCGCAUGAUGCAUGCUUUGUGCCCAGCCAGACUCAAGAUUCCACCAGCUCAAUGGCCCAGAGGGCUUCCUGGACGUGCCCUCAGCCUUUGUCCUCGGCGUCUCUGUGUGGUACUUGGAGAGAUAGUAGACCGUAUAGCGUACGCUUUAUCUGUGACGAGGUGACAUCUGCUUUGAGGAAGAGCCAGUGUCCCGGUCUUCCUACUGCUGCUGCUUGGUACUUGGAGAGAGGUGGUCCGUGGCGCGUUCGCUUCAUUUAUGGCGCACAUUACACGGUCGACCUCUUUGCGCCUUCUUCUCAGCAAAUUUCUCUGGCUUGGCAGCUUCGUGGGCAGGGUGACUUGCAGACCAGGAAAGUGGCAUCGACAUGUGAUACACGUGUGGGAGGACUUCUCAACCAAUAUGGUGUUCCAAAGUUGGGGAAGAUGGCAGCCACCGAGGCAACUCUACCCCAGGUCAUCACAGUAAACAACGCCAUCCUGGAGGAUCCCCUGAAUGUGAAGCUAUAUCCCAAGCUGGGGCACAUUUCUCCUGGUGGGCUUCUAAGGGCUGCUAUUCACCCCUACAUCCCAGGUUCGCCUGGAUCUAACCAAACGGACAAGCUCAAAUAUCAAAUGAAAAAUGAUGAGAGCAAGAUGAAGGCUCACAUCCGGACCGUCAUCGCAUCUGUCAUCGCACCGGACCAGCUCUCCCCAGCGCUCCUUAUCGUUUGCUACUUGAAGAGAGGUUAUCCUUUGUGUGUUUGCUUUACGCGAAAUGAAUAUGCAAGGGCAAGCUCUCUUCGAGGAGCAAAUGCUGCCUGGAAGCAUGGCUGGCGGCGGCCUGGGCCUAGCAGAAGGGUGUGGUCUCUCCAGGGCCUGGUCCACCCCUCUCCAAGUGAGGACUUCCUGGAAGUGGUGUCUGUCUUUGGGAAGAGGCUGAAGUUUCCCAUUCCGUGCGGUCUAUCUGGUGUUCUUCUGUGGCUAUACCUAGAUCAGAAGGGGGCAGUUUUAACAGCCCGCACCUAUGGAAGCAACCCAUCCCGUCAAAAAAAGUCAAUUGUAAGGAGCACAGUUCUGGAACCACAGCUUCUGGGGAAGGAGGAGUCCUAUCUGUCGUAUCUACCAGCAACCCUCGACGUUAUCGAGAGAGAGUCUAGGAAUUCAAUUUGUCAUUGGAAGAAUCUUCUGGAAGGAGAGAGGACAGUAGACAAGAGGCCCCGGUUUUCCUGUCAGAGAUCUCUGAGAAUAUUUGAGGGCCCCCUGCACAAGCGAUAUGAGACUGCCUGCCUUGUGUGAGCCUUGGAUGAGCCCUGCAGCUCCUUCGAGAUGCUCCUUGGAUAUUCCUGAUGGAGAAGACCAACCCCGAGGAAGCUUGGUCCUGCUUGCGAUGAGCUUGCUGUGCUUUCACGGACACCCUUCGUUUCUUCUACCAGUUUUCAGUGCCAGGGUGCGCUUGAAAGGAGAGCUGAUGCCAGGGCUAUAGCCUUCCCCAGCCAGAGCAUGUGGGCCAAACCCUUUCUGGAUGGCUAGGCAGUGGGGAGAAGCCAUGAGAUGGUUGAGAAGUAGUCACAACUCCCCUGGGGACAGACUGGUUUUCAGGGUUACAUCCAUUCAAAAACACCCCCCGGAAUUCAGGCUUGUGAAAGACAAGCUAACUUGACCCUGUUCCUUUGUUCUCACUGAGGUCCUGUCCCUGGCAUCCCCUUCCUCCUGUGGACACCACUGAGGUGCAGACACUACCCCGAUGGGGCUUCCCGUCCUGCUGUUCGGCUCUGGAAGAGACUUGAUUCCUUUUCUUUUUGUGCUGGUGGAGAUCACACACAAAAGGGAUGAUGCCGGUGGCGGACAGGAAGCCCAGCUCCUGCCGCCUGGAUGACUCUUCCCUUGGUGGGGACCAAUCCUGGAUGGAAUCAGUUCAAGAUGGAUGCCAGCUUCAUACAAGAGCCCUAUCAGGAUUGGCCUGAGAGAGAAGUGCUAUCAGCUACUAAAAGUGAAUACUAAAUGGCCUAUCUAUGUCAGAGGGAAGCCCAAAGCCCAGGAAGAAAUGAUGGACCAGAAACAACAGGACAUGCUCGUAAGGAAGACUUGCUGCAUGGUGGAUGGCCCAGAGACGGCGGGGCUCACAGAUGGUCACGUUUAGUGCUUGCAGAUUGGUAAUGCCUGUGCCCUUGGCUUUGUUUAUUCUGGUCAACCAGUUGUCAGUGCUGCCAUCGAGGGCUUUCUGGACAGCAUGGCACCUUCCGUAAGGAGACCUUGGCUUCAGUAGCUAGUCCAGAGAUGAGACAGUGGGAGUGGAGGAUCACCUGGGAUCAUGUAGAGCUCAAUGAACCUUCUCUUGAUUCAUAUGAGGAUGCUAGUAGCCUUGGUUGGGCUUUUCUGCAGUGGGACUUUUAUAGUCCCCUCAGGACCUUGAUGUGACUAACCAUAUGUGCACCAUUGAGAAAUGCAAGUCCCCAUUCACAUACCCCAGGGUCUAUAUACCUGCAGAGGACUUCUGACCUACAGCAAGUGGGCUCCCUUCUCAUCUUGAAAACCUUCCAGUGUGAACUCUAGAACCAAGGAAGACAGAGAAAGGGGACAAUGUCAGCAUCGUUGCAAGGGAGUACCAAAUGCUACCUCUAAGGAUUUCCUGGACAUGAUGGCAACUUGCAGAAAGAUGGCGGUUCAGUCAAGCUGGUAGAGAAGCCAAGUAUGGAUGUUUGGCCACGGACAGUGUGCUUGAGCUAGCUGUAAGUCACCUGGUCGGGUUACCUGAGCAUCUGAUCCACCUGUAGGCCUCUCAUCAGUGGGCCGUGCCAACCUUGGUGAGGCAGCUGUGGCUCUGCCCCCAAGUAUCAGCUUACAAGACUUUGAAAAGAGGUCAUCUUCCGGAAGAGAUGUUGGUGCCAGCACCAUUCAGGGUGUGUGACUGGUUGACCAGAGGGGCGUGCACUCUGUUCACCCUGUGGGCCACCUAGUCACCAACCCUCAGCAUCAAUUCCACUCAAAGAAGACUUUCCAGAGAUCCUACCAAGUUUGGGGAUAUGUCAAUGGACUUGAUGGCUGUGCCUGCUCAGUGGACCAGGAUGAACUGUGGUCUUAGGGGUGUAUGUUUACAUAAGAUGCCAUGAGGCAUCCGUGGUAGCUGCUGCAUCACUGUCACAGCCUCCUUGAAAUGUUGACUUCAGAUGUGGACAUGAUGUUGACUUCCCAUGAGGGACCUGAAGUCCCUUCUCUCCUGGGAGAGUCUGUGAGAUGAUACCAACCUCUAGAAGCAGGCAUGGUUGUCCCGACAUCGCCACACUACCACAGGAGCUUCCAGAAUACAUUCUCUUCAUGGAAACUGUGGAACCACGCCCCCUCUGGUCCAGGAGGACUAACCAGAUUCAAGGCUAUCACCAUCCCCCUUCAGGACAGUGGAAGCAGCCACCUUUUCGAGAGAGUCGAUGUGUUCUUCACCAGUGUUCUUCGCCAGUGAUCAUGUGUGAUACUUGGAGAGAGGCUGGCCGUGAUGAAUUCGAUUCAUCUAAACGAGUCAUACACGGCUCUCCUCUCUUCUAGUGUCAAACUCUGCCUCAGAGGUCUUCUCAAGCCACUACUGUUCCCAAGGAUGCCUAAUUGCAAUGCCAGCUUCUGGGGUGAACAUGGACCCACUGUCAUCGGGCAAGGUCUAGGAUGGACAUGGAGACCCACCAUCUGGGAGAUUCCAGAGUGGACGUGAACCCACCAUCAUCAGAGAGCUUCAUGGAGUAUUCAGAAGCUGGCGGGUGUCACCUGGAGGAUGUGACUGGGUACCAGUGCCAGAGCACGUGCCCACUGAGCAGUCUUCUUCACUUUCCUCGAUCCUCAUGAAACAUUCCGGGAUCUUUACCUCAAAGGACUCCAGAGGCUACAUCAUUGUCUUGGAACUGGUCAGUGGCUGGAGCUCUCUCCAGGACAAGUGCUUGGAGGAAGAACCUGGACAAGCUUCCCUCCCUAUACUGUUGACUGGAUCUUGUAGCUACCGUUAGCCACCAUCAUCGCCAUUGUGUGCCUCUUAGGAGCAUUUCCAGGAGGUGAUGCCAGCUGGGGAAAGAGCCUCUGUCCCACAGCCGUCGGUGCCCGCUGCAGCCUGCGCCCAGGAUGUCACAGCCUCAGCUCAACACCUCUGCUGGACAGCUUCAGGUGGUGAUUCCAGCUCCAGGGUUGCUGCGGUCAACACUGGGUACUUGAGGAGAGGUUGUCUGUGAUGAGUUCGCUUUAUUAAUGACGAAUAUAACACAGAUGGCCUGUUUUCAAUACCACCUGCCACUCCGGUCACUCGGCAGUACAUACCAGGUGUCACACCACUGCCCGGCAGGUGACAACGCUGAAUUGGUCCUCAGGAGCGGAUGUUCAAGGAACCCUGCCUAUGCACCAUGCUAGCUGCCAGUCCUAGGUUGGGACAUUCCACUGGGGACAUCCAUGGGAGAGCUAUGGCCAUUAACAAGUCCUGAGCCCUGACCUGAAGCCAUCAGUGGCCUAGCUGCUCUACCUGACUUUGUGGCCUCCCUUCCUGGAUCUCUCGCUUACGACAACCGACAACAAAGAUGUUUGACUCCAGAAGAUGCUCCCCGCGGCCCACCUGAGAGGACUGUCCACACCCCACCCCACUGCGCCCUGUGCCAUCUACCUCUGAGUCCCCAACUUCUCACCCAUGUUUCAACUCCCACCCCAGAGCCUUGUAUUCCAGAUCUGAGCAGCCCUUGCUUAGGAACCUGAGGUGGGGGGUGGGUAGGCAGACCCAGGGGACUGAGCAGGGAGGGGAAGGAGGGGUUUCUGCUCUUGGCUUUCAAAGUUCUCAGUGUGUGUAGCCCUUUGAAUAAUAAACAUAUGUCAUAUAAUGUAAAAAAAAAAAAAAAAAAA
This 6071-nucleotide long non-coding RNA is filed under the name Mus musculus (house mouse). The record is from RNAcentral. Lineage: Eukaryota; Metazoa; Chordata; Mammalia; Rodentia; Muridae.